Molecule: non-coding RNA, 372 nt
Organism: Pelobates cultripes (western spadefoot toad)
Lineage: Eukaryota; Metazoa; Chordata; Amphibia; Anura; Pelobatidae
Source: the annotation of a GenBank genome assembly
UGUGUGUGUAUGUAAUGCAGUGUGUGUGUGUUUGUGUAGUGUGUAUGUAUGUAAUGCAGUGUGUGUUUGUGUAGUGUGUAUGUAAUGCAGUGUGUGUGUAUGUGUAGUGUGUAUGUAAUGCAGUGUGUGUGUAUGUAAUGCAGUAUGUGUACUGUGUUUGUGUAGUGUGUAUGUAAUGCAGUGUGUGUAUGUAAUGCAGUGUGUGUGCAGUGUAGUGUGUGCAGUGUGUGUCUGUAAUGCAGUAUGUGUGCAGUGUGUGUUUGUGGUGUGUGUAGUGUCUGUCUGUGUAGUGUGUGUAUGUAAUGCAGUGUGUGUGCCUGUGUAGUGUGUAUGUAAUGCAGUAUGUGUGCAGUGUGUGUUUGUGUAGUGUGU